RNAcentral lists this transfer RNA (77 nucleotides) under Ignavibacteria bacterium. RNAcentral's name for it is "tRNA-Arg". It matches the Rfam family "tRNA". Rfam says of the family: Transfer RNA (tRNA) molecules are approximately 80 nucleotides in length. Their secondary structure includes four short double-helical elements and three loops (D, anti-codon, and T loops). The record is from RNAcentral. Lineage: Bacteria; Pseudomonadati; Ignavibacteriota; Ignavibacteria.
GGGCCCGUAGCUCAACGGGAUAGAGCAAUAGCCUUCUAAGCUAUAGGUUGCGCGUUCGAGUCGCGCCGGGCUCACGA